RNAcentral lists this long non-coding RNA (482 nucleotides) under Mustela putorius furo (domestic ferret). RNAcentral's name for it is "lncRNA (ENSMPUG00000027010.1)". Lineage: Eukaryota; Metazoa; Chordata; Mammalia; Carnivora; Mustelidae. The record is from RNAcentral.
CAACCCCUUUGGAAACUAUUUGGCAUUACAUACUAAAGCUAAAUCUGUAUCUCUCUUAUGAUUCAGCAACACCCCUAGGUUUAUAUGUCCAAGAAGAGUAAAUAGAUACAUCCAAAAAACAUGUGCUUGUGUGAUCAUGGCAGUCUUCUCUGAAAACAAUCCUGAUGCCCGUCAACAGCAGAACAGGUCAACUGUGGACUAUUCGUACAAUGGGACCCUGCAUAACAGAAGGAGGAGGGGGAAAGAAGAGGAGGAGAGGAAGAAACACAUACAUGCAAAGGUGGGAUUCAACCCCAGGUGGGGUGACUCCAAAUGCUGUGCUUCUUAGAGGAAACAGGAUCUCCAGCUGGUGGGAAGGUCAUGAUCCCAGGAUACUUGGAUCGAGCCCCGCAUCGGGCUCCCAGCUCUGCAGGAAGCCUGCUUCUUCCUCUCCCACUCCCCCUGAUUGUGUUCCCUCUCUCACUGUGUGUGUGUGUGUGUGU